CGGCUCCCAGUUAAACCCCGCAGAAAUUCCUGCAGGAUUACAACACAGAUUGGCAGCUCCCCCAGCCAGUGGAAGGAGGCGGCGCGUCUCCGCCGCCGGCUCUCGCCCCUCGCAAAUUCAAGCAACUUUCCACCUCCUUCCCCCCCUUUCCUCCCCCCCAAAAAAACCUCCGCCCCUCUCUAUCUUCCUCUCUCUCGUCCUCCUCCCCAGUGGAAAACAUAAGCAGCGAGCGGGGGCUGGCCCCGGGUAGAAGGAAUUCUUCCCUCUGCUGCGUGUUCUCAGCCGCCGGAUCGUGCCGUGCUGCCUCUCACAUCCUCCCCAGCUACCUAGAAUGCAGCAUCAGACUUUUCUCUGGAGACUGGUAACUUUUAGGAAUGGGAGAGUGGCUGUGAUUUGUGCCUCAUUACAUGGAGCCAGAAAGAAAACAAAUAUUGCAGGAAUCUACAGCACCAAAAAUGCGCACUUCAGAAGCAAAACCAAGAGGUCUUGCUGUGACUGACCCAUGGUGUUUAUCAUGUGGGGAAAAUAAUAGUAUUGCAGAGCUUAGGAGCAUCUUUCUGAUUCAGGCGCCCAUGCCAGCGUGUUUCCACUGCCAAGCGUGUCCAUAUGUUACAUCAGUCACUGGACACAGGAAGGUGAAAUAUAUUGCCUCUUGGUUAUGAACUGCCACCCAUGAUUCAAUUCAGAGCUUGCGUUUGUAGCCUGAGUGAGGUGGUCACCAUGACUGUAAUGAUCACUCUUCUUUUAGACAAGCCCAUCCCAUUCAGAGGACCCCAAAGAAGCAGUAAGCACGGGGAUCCCAGUGCAGGUGUUUCUCCAUGCCCAUUGCCUUGCCUGUAUUGGCCUUUGAGUGGUGCUGAGAUCCUAUCUGCCUCCAGGCCCUGUGGUUGCUUUCCUAUCAAAACAGAAGAACAAAACCAAAUGUGGUUAAUUAAGCACAUACAGUCUGUUGCCUUCCCAGCCUCUCCCAGACAAAGGCACCCCACACAUGCCUGUGUGAUACGGCUGUGUGCUGGGGAGCAGCAGGACUCGUGUCCCCACGGGGCAGGUGGCCAUGCCCUGAGUGUUCCCACUGCCAGGAACGUGAUACUUCUCAGCAGCACUGGCCGUGCUAUUUCCAGACCCACCUCCCAGACAUGCCGUGUCAUUGAUUUUUAGGCUGCAUUCACCGCUGAAAUCUCAGCAGAUUUUCAAUGGUCUGCUCCUGGCAGGCGUCAUGCACAAACAGGUUGUUUAAUAGAUUCCUUCUCCUUCAAAAGCCGUUGCAAAUAUUUAGGGCCAGUUCUGUGUAUUCUCUUCUUUGACGGGUGGUUGGAUUGCAACCUAACAAACUGAGGAACUGUUGCAGCAUGACUUGAUGAGAGAAGCUGAAGUA
Long non-coding RNA from Tympanuchus pallidicinctus (lesser prairie-chicken), 1375 nucleotides. RefSeq lists it as uncharacterized. The transcript has 3 exons. The record is from RefSeq and is a predicted model, not a curated record. Lineage: Eukaryota; Metazoa; Chordata; Aves; Galliformes; Phasianidae.